This 441-nucleotide ribosomal RNA is filed under the name uncultured bacterium. RNAcentral describes it as "bacterial SSU rRNA". It matches the Rfam family "Bacterial small subunit ribosomal RNA", at positions 337 to 794 of the family's 1533-position model. The record is from RNAcentral.
GCCUACGGGGGGCAGCAGUUAGGAAUCUUGGGCAAUGGGCGAAAGCCUGACCCAGCAACGCCGCGUGGGUGACGAAGGCCUUCGGGUCGUAAAGCCCUUUUGCACGGGAAGAUAAUGACGGUACCGUGCGAAUAAGCCCCGGCUAACUACGUGCCAGCAGCCGCGGUAAUACGUAGGGGGCGAGCGUUGUCCGGAUUUAUUGGGCGUAAAAGGCUUGUAGGUGGCCACGUCAAGUCGGAUGUGAAAUCUCCCGGCUCAACUGGGAGGGGUCAUUCGAUACUGGCGGGCUCGAGGCCGGUAGGGGGUAGCGGAAUUCCCGGUGUAGUGGUGGAAUGCGUAGAUAUCGGGAGGAACACCAGUGGCGAAGGCGGCUACCUGGACCGGUUCUGACACUGAGGAGCGAAAGCGUGGGGAGCGAUCCGGAUUAGAUACCCCGGUAGA